UCUGACUAUAAAUAUGAUAUUU
Molecule: small nuclear RNA, 22 nt
Filed under: Arabidopsis thaliana (thale cress)
Lineage: Eukaryota; Viridiplantae; Streptophyta; Magnoliopsida; Brassicales; Brassicaceae
Description: snRNA_00489
Source: RNAcentral